CCUACGGGAGGCUGCAGUGGGGAAUAUUGGACAAUGGGGGGAACCCUGAUCCAGCGACGCCGCGUGAGUGAAGAAGUAUUUCGGUAUGUAAAGCUCUAUCAGCAGGGAAGAAAGAAAUGACGGUACCUGACUAAGAAGCCCCGGCUAACUACGUGCCAGCAGCCGCGGUAAUACGUAGGGGGCAAGCGUUAUCCGGCUUUACGGGGUGUAAAGGGAGCGUAGACGGUUACGCAAGUCUGGAGUGAAAGGCGGGGGCCCAACCCCCGGACUGCUUUGGAAACUGUAUAACUGGAGUGUAGGAGAGGUAAGUGGAAUUCCUAGUGUAGCGGUGAAAUGCGUAGAGAUUAGGAGGAAUACUAGUGGCGAAGGCGACUUACUGGACUGUAACUGACGUUGAUGCGCGAAAGCGUGGGGAGCAAACAGGAUUAGAUACCCCAGUAGUC
This 443-nucleotide ribosomal RNA is filed under the name uncultured bacterium. Its description in RNAcentral is "partial 16S ribosomal RNA". It matches the Rfam family "Bacterial small subunit ribosomal RNA", at positions 338 to 795 of the family's 1533-position model. The record is from RNAcentral.